This 11414-nucleotide long non-coding RNA is filed under the name Brassica napus (rape). Its description in RNAcentral is "long non-coding RNA (BNAP_LNC007366)". The record is from RNAcentral. Lineage: Eukaryota; Viridiplantae; Streptophyta; Magnoliopsida; Brassicales; Brassicaceae.
GAGCGUCAUCGCCGGUGAUCCUGGUGUUCAAGAGGCAUCGACCAGUGUAAGGUUCCUUUGGUUUGAAUUUGUUGACAACUAUUCCUUCUUCUUGUUUCUUUGACUCCUUGGCUACUUUCACUGGCGCCUCUGUUGACACCUGAGCCUUCACUCUUCCCCCAUAUACACACGCCUCUCUGUAGCACAGUGUGCUCUGUACAUAUGCAUGCCACAAAAGAUAUUUAAGCCCCUUUUUGGUCAGAGAUAUCAAGCUAUGACUAAGAAGAUGAUUAAGAAACGAUACCUUGUUGUUGAGGAAAAUCCUUUGAGGGGAGACGAAGGAAGUUUUGGAGGGAAGAGAAGAAGACUUGGAUGAAGGAUAAGAGACUGCAGCACCUAUAGCAGCAGCAGCCAUGUUUGAUCAACUAUGCAAGGAAGAUGGGCCUCUCUGUCUUUCUUCUUACAAAACAGAAAAUAAAAGAUCAGAGAAAAAAUGUUAAAGAGGAAGCUAUAUGAUAUGAUCAGGUUUGUGAUUGGAUGUUUGUAGAUUGUGUGAAUGAAAAUGCAAGGCCAAGUGUAAGUGGAUAAGUUAUUACAGCUUCUCAUUUGUCUCUCUGUUCAACAUUGUCCUAACACUAUCCACCCAAAUAAAAAUAUGUUCACACAACACAAUCUACUGCUUACUGGGCUACAUAGUGGGCUUAAUUAAUUAACAAUAGGCGUCCUGGACAAGAAACUAAUUGAUUGGAUCGGAAGCGAGAAUGGCAGAGGAAGUGAGUCAAAUCAAUUCAUAUCCUAACUCGAGGAUCAUGGAAAACAACAGAAAUAGACUGUUUCUUGUGCUGGUGUUCUCUCUCACAGGCACACAUAUAAUAAUAAUAACAGAAGAAUUGGAAAAAGGGUACAAAACAUACGAGAUGUUUAAAUUACAGCUGGGAUCUAUCUUUCUUCGGUGCCCUGGUCGAGUCAGGGAAUGGGCAUGUACCUAUCCCAUAUCCUCUUUAACCUGGUGGCCAAAACCACUCACACUGUUUCUUUGGUUUGGCUGCUUCACACAACCAAACUAUUACAACCCCCAAAACCCCACUUAUCUUACAAGCAAAUUACAUAUAUAUAAUCACAUUGCCCUGUCUCCACUUAUUGUCCUCUUCUAGUAUAUACACCAUUUAAAACUACCGAGGAAUCCUGUGGCCUGCAGUGCUUGCAACUCUCGGGGAACUUAUGCUCGCUGUUCUUAGAAGCCUCCUGAACUCAUGCAGGCUUAUCUUCCCGUCUCUGUCUAUGUCUGCUUCAUCCAGAAGUGGGUCUAUUGACCCCCUUAACCCCGUGUGCUGUUUAAUUCACCAAAACAAAACGUAUUAGAUGCUUUCUUUUAUUCCAUCAUCUCCUCAACAAAGAGAGUACAAGAGGUAUUAUAGAUAAAAAGAUUUACCAUUCGAAGCUCCUCAGGGGUGAUGUACCCGUCUUUGUCAAUGUCGAAUUUCUCAAAAGCUGCUCUUGAUCUUAGCUGCCAUUUCUCUGAGUCAUGUUCUUCAAGUUGAUGAACAUGUAGAGCUGCUGCUACAAACUCUGUGAAGUCCACUAACCCAUCAGUGUUGCUAUCAAUCUGUCAUCACAACAAACGUUUCAGAUUUUUAUAUGGAAACUGCAUCUCUCUUUGAAAAUAACCCCGUGAUGCUCUAUUGCAAUGGCGAAGAAAAACUGUAAUUACCGCUUCAAGUAUCUCGGCAACUCGUGAUUCCUUCAGUUUCCAAGGAAGAUCUUUGGCAAGUGCCUGUAUGUACAUUAAAGAAAAUAUGAAUCUAAUAUAAGUAGACGUGAUUAAUAUUGCACUUGAAGCAAAUUUGUUCACUUACCUGUCUCAUCUCCUCAAGACUAAUGACGCCGUUUUUAUCCACAUCAAUUGCAUCAAACUGAUCUCUGAGGUCAGAUAUCUCUGCCUCAUCAAGUGUGCUAGCAAGCGCCUGCCAAAAAAAGGGGACACAGAGCAUAAGAGACAAGUCCUUUAUCUCUCUCGUUCUUUUAGUUCUCGUAGUUCAAGCUUACCCGUAAAGCAAACUGCUUCAGACGGCUGUAUCUAACAAACUGACGUAAGUUGUUCAGAACAGAAAUGUCGACAGGGAUGUCAGUGGCGUUCCCUCCUUCUCUAACCCACGCAUGUGCUGCAAAGAGGCAAAAGAGUCAAAAGUCUAAGAUUCCAUUGCAGAUGAUGAAAUCACCAAACUACUAAGGACAACACAUACACAGGGCUUGUGCAGCAGUUAGCCGUGCUCGUGGGGCUUUAACAAGCAACUUUUUAAUAAAAUCUUUGGCACUGUCACUUAUGGUUGACCAUGGUUUGCGACGGAAGUCAGGUUUGUUCCUUAAGACCUAUAGACAUACAUACAGUAAGAAGUCAGACAGCAAAUAAGAAAGAUAGAAAAUCAAAUGAAAGGGUUUUGGCAACUACACACCUCCUUAAAUAUACCGUCCUCAGUCCUAUCCCAGAAAGGGCGUCUUCCACAGAGUAAAAUAUAGGUAAUGACACCAAUGCUCCAGACAUCAGACUCAGGGCCUGAUCUGCGCUUAAGUACUUCGGGAGCAACAUAAUAGGCGCUACCAACAAUGUCAUGGAACUUUUUCCCUGAAAACAUUUGAGUUUUUUUUUUUUAAUCAUAUAAAUUAACAUAAUUAGCCUCUCUACCACUUAGUUGGUGUUGGUUUUGAUAGCUUCCUACAAACCUGGUUUAAUAAAAUCGGAUAAACCAAAAUCUGUAGCCUUUAGAGGCGAAUCCAGUUUAGCUGAUUUGAACAAAAAAUUCUGCAAGAAAGAGGAAAUAGGAGGAUAUUAAAAACAAAAAUGCCAAGGAAAAGAGAAAUAAUAAUAAUAAUAAUAAUACCUCAGGUUUCAUAUCUCUAUGAACAAGACCGUGAAGAUGACACUCUCCAGCGACUUUGAGCAUCUGCCUGACGACAACGGCUGCAUCCUUCUCAGAGUAACGACUAUCUUUCCUGAAAUAAAAAGCGUCAAAUAGAGAGAGAAGGUGUAAGAACUAAGAAGUAUAUCAGACAAGACAAUAGUGGGAUCAGUUAGAGAUUAGAGAGAGAUGGUAACUAACUUGGAUAAUAUACGGUCCAGCAAUUCACCUCCCUCGCACAACCUAAAAGUAAAGGCAAAGAGUCAAAUGUGAAAUGCCGCGGAGAGACAUGAUCAUGUAAAAGAGAGACUAGACUCACUCCAUGACAAUGUAGACGUAGUCAUCAUCAUCAAAGGCAUUGUAAAACUGGACAACGUUCUCGUGGCCAGAGAGAGCUUUAAGAAUCUGAACCUCUCGCUUCACGUCCUCCACCGCAACAGGAAGAACCAUCUGUCACCCAAAACACCCAAAGGCACAGUAACUAACUGUAGGAGGACUUGGGAUUUUUUUUUUUAAGAUUAUGAUAUUAGAAAGAUUACAGACGAUUCGAGAACCAACAAUACUGCAUGUCUUGACGAGUGCUUUUUAGAAAAUCAAAAUUAUAUUCCGAGGAUCGAAUCUAACCGUGAAUUGAGAUUGAAUAGUAGUAUAUAUAUAUGAUGAUGAUUGAUUUAUUUGAGAUAUUCACUAAUUCCAAAAAAAGGGAAUCCCAUUUUAAAAAAAAAACAAUACCUUGCUCUUAUCGAGCCUUUUAACGGCGACACGAUCGCCGUUAGAUUUGUGGAUGGCAACGUAAGUAUACCCGAAUUGACCAUGACCCAGCAACUUCCCUAUGCUAUACUGCUCGUGGAAGUCUUUGGCGUAUCCAAACUCGGUACGCUUCCCGCAAGGGACUGACCCGGUUCUCCGCUUGGUGGUGGUGGUAGAGGGCUUGUUGUUGUUGUUCUCCGGAGGAGGAGUCUUAUUAUUAGACUUAGGGUUCUUCUUGUUGUUGUUGUUGGUCUGACUACUACUUCUUCUGCUGCUGCUGCUGGUACCAGUGACUCUAAUGGCCGAGAAACACACACCCAUGAUGGUUAAGAAAGCGAUUCAAAGGGAGGAAGAAGGUCGAUGAAGGAUUUGGAAAUGGGGGUUGGGGAUAUUCAUUUUAAUAAACAAAAAUGAAAAAGAGAGGAAAGGAGGGAGGAGGAGAAAGAGAGCGUUGAGUUGGUCAAACACAGAGAGCGAGUAAGUGAAUCACCAAACGAAAUAUCCUCUCCACUUUCCCCUCUCUUUGCCUUUUUCUUCCCUUUUUCCUUUUUUUACUUUUUACUUUUUAUUCACACUAGUAUCUGGGCUUUGUUACAUUUCCACUGCCAUUUAUAUACAUGCUAUCAUCAUAUACAGUAAUAUUUUUUUUAAUUGAUAGUACUGAUUUGAUCCGCGUUUUGAAAGCGCGAGAUUUAUUUCUUUUAAAAAUUUUGGUCAAAUUUUGUUAAUUAUAAGAUUAUGUAUUUUUAUAUAAGAUAAUCAAAUUUGUUUACAAUUUUGUUGAUUUUUUAUGAAUUUAAAAUAUGUAUACUUCUAUGUUGGACAUGAUUUUAAAAUGUAUUUAUACUCAUGUAAAUUGUUUUAUGAGUUUAAAAAUUAGAUGGAGUGAAAUUUAUAGUUUUUUAUUGUUUAUAGUUAUUGAUCUAAUUAGUAGAUGUGAAUAUAGUAGGUUAAUUUUCUAUUUUUCGGCCGACAUUAAUUAUAGGUUGAUUUAUUUGUUUUUCUUUUCUAUAGUUUUAAAUGUUUUAAGAGGAUCCCAUAUGUUUUUUCAUUUUUUGUUUUCCUUGGCGUAGAAUUAUAAUUACAGUAUCAAACUAUAGGCAAAAAAAAAGAGAAAAAGACCAAAAUAGCACUAAAUCAAGUUUUUGUUCCCAAACUAGCACUCAAGGUCAAAAGUCACAAAAAUAGCAUUCAAGGAGUGGGGUUUAGGGUUUAGAAUUUAGGGUUUAGGGUUUAGAGUUUAGGUUUUAGGGUUUAGAGUUGAGAAGUGAGGUUUUGGGGAUAAGAUUUCAAAUUUUGAAAAAUAAAAAAAUAUAAAUUUUUCAAAAGAUAAAAGAGAAAAAGACCAGGAUAGCACCAAACCAAGUUUUUGUUCCCAAAGUAGCACUCAAGGCUCAAAGUCACAAAAAUAAGUUUCAUUAAAGAGGUAAAUAUACACUUAUACCCUUUGAGUUAAUUAAUCCAAACCUUAGGGUUUAGAGUUAAGGGGUGGGGUUUUGGAAUUAGGGUUUAAAAUUUUAUAAAAAGUAAAUACUAAAAUAAAAAAUAAAAAUUUUAGAAACAGUUUCAAAAAGUAUUUUUAAAUUAUAAAAAGAAAAUUUGAAAAAAAAAAUUUCAAAAAAAAAAUUAUAAAAAUUUCGAAUCUGAAAACAUAUAAUCUGAAACUAUAAAAAAAAAUAUUUUUUUCAUUUUUUUUAUUUUUAUUUUAUUUAUUUUUAUUUAUUUUUAUUUAUUUAUUUAAUUUUAAACCAAGGGUAUUAGAGAUAUUCAAUUGCAACUACCAGUGGAUGGCAUUAGAAUCAUCAACACAACAAAUUAAAGAAGCUAAUGUUGAACAUAUAAAUCACAUACCUGUGAAACCCAAGGACUGAACUGCUGGUGCACCUCAUCUACUAGAGGCCCUCUCACGAUCUGCAACUCUGGCUGCGGAAUACCAACAAUGCCAACGAAAAGCAUCGGUCAUGGCCCAACAAGUAUUUAUAUGGAUCAUAUAAUAAUUUUUAUCUGGUUUUACUUGUAUUCAAGAGUAAAACCAGAGUGUAAAAGAAACUCUUAUCCUACAUAUUAUCAGUGUGUACAAGUACAAAGAAAACCUAGAAUUUGUGAUAGAAACUUAGCAUCUCAAUGCUCUUGGAGUAUAGAGUCUACAUAUAUGUAUAGGAGUACUGAUUCAUAGACUCACUUUCGAAGAAACAGAAUAUGCCAAGGAAGCAUUAGGUCGGAAAAUAUAUGCACCGGAAACUUGGGAAUUUUUUGAGUCCCCCACAUUUGAAGCAUACCAGAGAUAGUUCUGGUCCACCAGUAUUUUAGCCUGAAACAUAUUUUUAUCAGAAACGAUUGUGUUUUGAAUCAUUUUUGUCACCAUAGUUCCAAGAUUUUUCAGUGUGCAAGAGAGUAAACGAGAAACAUUACUCCUGUUCUGGAGUUGUGCAUCUGUUUGAGAAGACCAGAGUCUGGAGAAAACACCAGCUUCAGAUUUCCUGGACCAAUUUCAGUUAUACCCUUCAUUGGACUAAACGUCCCUGGAGAGUGUUUGUUUUUGUCGCUUCCUAAAAGAGAAGUCAUGAGUUAAAAGCACAUCUUGUGUGUAACUUUCAAUAGAAUAUGUAAGGUUUACCUUCCCCGGUUGCUUUAGAUAUGAAGAAUGUGUUCCAACCAAGUGGCGGCACUGUUGCUUUAAACACAAGCCAAUACUUUGGAAUCUGUUGUGAAGAUACUCCCAAAUACGCUUUCGAAUAGUUACUUCUCAGGUUGCUCGUGACAUUAUCCAUGGGAAUGUACUGAGCAUCAAGGGUUUUUCCUGAUGAAUCUUCCACGUUUAAACCUGCAUCAUUGACCUAGUAAAACAGAGAAAUUGUAAGUGUCAUUAUUGACCUCAAAGAAGCAAGUAAUCUAGAUUUAAAAAAAAGAGCAUGAAAUCUAACCGGUAUCCUGAUGACUUCUGUACGAUUCCAUGCAAGGGAGUUAUAGGCCACCAGAAUCUGAAUUUAAGACACAAGCACUGAGUCAGUUGAAGAAGCCUAAGCUGAGACCUCAGAGUUAUAUAUAUCUUAAUAAUGACUAUGGAAUUACCAAGCUCUUCUGGCCUGAAAUGGUUUCUUCCGUCACUGGGCAAUAGCUCAUAUUCAUCGACGAGCACUGCUCAGAGGGUAAUAAAAACAACUCAUUAUUUAUCCUACAUUAUCAUGAAAUGGAUUUUUUUUAGAAAACCAAAAUGAGUUUGAAGGAUCUUUUUUAACCUGGGCUAAUGAUAUGUCAGGCUUUGUACGUGCCUUGUUCAUUAAGUGUGCCAGCGCAGAAUUCACAACUGCUUCUGCCUAGAUUCAUACGAUGAAAUCAGUUAACCUUAGCAAAGAGUUUUGAAUAGUAAGGUUUUGUUACCUCAGAAGCACCAUGUGCUAGUCUUUUGGCAUAAUCAUUUGUCACAUGCUGCUUGGCAGUUCCAGUGACACCAUCAUGGUGCUGCGCUAUUGCUAAAGAAUCCCCAAGUCUACAAGUGUUUGGACCUCCAGAUUUCUUUCCCACCAGAAACUCAAGUUGCCUUGCAGCCUGGUUUGGAGAAAGAAUAAAAAAAUAAAGCACAUUCUCUAUGUUGGUGUGUCUGAAUUUGACAAAGAAACCAUAGAGACUAUUUGGAUACCAAGUAGUAUCCGCUAAGAGAGCGAACAUAUCGUUUUAAAGCAGGGCGGCUGGUGAAGUAGCCAGUCCAGUAGGCGCUAUCCCGAUCUGCAUAUCUACAAUGAACACAUGGGUUUAGAAAGUGAAGCUCAACAAGGUUGACAGAGGAAUGUUGUGAAUUUUUAAACCACUCACGGGAAAAAGUCAUGUGUCUUGAGAGGCCAAGUGAUGUUCUUGGCAGCAUUCUUGGCAUCAACAUAAAGAGAUGGUGUGGAGUACACUGCGUUCACACGGCCAUCCUGUGAAAGUAAAGUUGAAUGUGAGGAAUGGGAGGGAGAGAAGAAGUGAGAUUGAGAAAAGGAAGAAACCUUGUUAACAUAAUGAAUCAAUCUGUCCAUCUGUCUGAACCAAGACUCGGCGAACUGGUACUGAAAAUCAUCACCCAUUGUCCACAUCACAUGGUUCCCUCGAGUCACAUUGGCCUGUCCAUAUAUAUAUAUAUAUAUAUAUAUAUAUAUAUAUUCCCAUCAAAUAGUCACAAUAUAUUUUUAUUUUUUUGAAUUAACAAACAGCGUGGUGGUCCGAACUGCGCAUUCACCAUAUUGAGGUUAUCCCUCAAGUGCCACUAGCCCGUGGCCCGUUGGUCGAAAAAUUCGUUAUUAGGGAUCAAAAUUAAACUUACAUAAAAGAGGGAAGCAUUGACGAAAUUAUCAACAGCAUCCUUGAUGUUGAAGGCAUCCAAAAGAGGGUCAUCCUGGAGAGGAGCGUAAUCAUCGGUGAUCUCAUAGUGAAACCCACUGGGUGGACUAUAGUGAACUGGAAAAGUAUUGGUGAAUAUCUGAGAAGACGAUGCGAAAGUUUCGGAUCCUCUCCAGACGAAUUCUAAGGAUUUCUCGUCCUUGCGCUUCUCCCUGUCCUGGUAAUCGAUUCUGGCGAAAUGAAGAGAAUCAAACCCUAGCUCUGCUCCCAUAAGGUAAGCUUGUACGGAGGAAUGACCGAAAGGAUCUAUUUGCCAAGCAGCACGAGGAAUGAUAUUGAAUGUCUGCAUUAUAAACCGAUGCCCUAACGUCAUCUGGUCUAUCAUGUCUAUGUAAUGGCACGUUGCUUCGUCGUUCAUACUCCAUCCUCCGUUUCUGCACCCCCACCCCACACAAUGAUCAUUCUGUGAAAUCAAAAUUGAUCAAUCGUAACAUUAACACUUACACAAACUCGAGUUGUCCGGAGUUCACAAGCUUCUUCACUUGUUCGUGUGUCUCGGGGUUUUGUUCUCCCCACCAACGCGUAAAGAAUGCCUUUUUCAUAUAUAUAACAUAUGGUUUAUGAAUUGUGAUCAAAAACAUUAAUUGGUGGUUAAUUAAUUUAAUUAAAAGCAGCAAUAAUGGCAUAUGUUUUCACCAUUUCCGCAAACACAAACUUUCGAUUAGGAUCGCGACGCAGCGAGUCCAUCACCGAGUCCAUCACGUUUCUCACGCAUGCUUUCUGAUGAAAAUUAAUAUCAAUAUUGAGUAUACAUAUAGACAGUCUCUAACUACGACUACGUGUGUGACAUAAGGUUCUUCUCUAUUAUCUACAUAUAUACCUGGAUACUGUUGUUUGAUCCGAUGAAGUACUGAUCAACGGUUUUCAACCACCCGACAUCGUCAUGAGAAUGCGGGACAAGAUGGACGUUGAGUUUGUCAGGUACGACUCUAGCAUCGGUGCCGUACUUAACGUAGACGCCAUUAACGCUCUCAAGAGAAAGACAGGUGGUAACAGAAACAAUAACAUAGAUCAACACAGACAAACCGGGUAUCACCAUCGACCUUCAGAUGUUUCCUUGUUUCUCUCUUUCUUACAGACUUGUGUUAUAUAUAAGAAAUGGAGAGAAAAAGGAGGGUCGUAAAGACCAAUUUCUAUCGUUGGUUUUGCUCAGAUCCAGACCACUCUCAUCACUAACUGUCUCUAUGAUAAUUUAAUUGUGACUAGAUUAUCAUUUCACCACAAAAAUACUGUAAUAUUCCUUAAUUAGCUUCUAUAAUAAGUUAAUAAUCCUACAUGAAACCUUUUUUAAUAAUUAUUUUACAUUAUCACACAAAAUAGACUUUUCACACCCUGAUUUGUAUAAAUAAAAUUGAUGUUUUUGUAGCUUACUAUUUAUUAAUAUUAAAAAAUUUAGAUGCAGAUUUUUAGAUAUAAAUCAAUUAUUUAUUGAUGUCUAAAUAUAUUAAUAUAAUGUAAACAUGUUAAAUGCAACCUAUACAUUUUAAGUAAAAAAUUCUUCUUAAAAUUAUAAUUUCCCUUUGUUAAUAUUUUCAAUGCUUUUGAAAUGUGUGUUGUGAAAUGUUUGUGAUAUUAAUUUCAAUCUUUUUAAAAUUGUUUUUAUGCAAAAUCUCUGAGCCUGAGCUUGUGAAAUGGAUCACAAGACUUAUGUAAUCCGCCCAUCUUCUUCUUUUCAACUGCUGCUGUGUUUCAAGGUUUAGAGCGAGGUAUUGAACAUGUAAACAUAUUCCAAACAUGAUAUGAAUAGAAAUUUAAAAGAGUAAUUUUGGUGGUAAUGAUGCUCUCUUUAGAUUGUUGAUGGAAAAUUCUCAAAUGCAGAAGAAAGAUGAAGAAUCGACAAUGGCAUCAGCUCCUUUAUCUACAUAAUAUUUAAUAAUAAUAAUAAACCCUCUCACAAUCUUGCUUAGUAGACUUCCACAUUCCACUGCUCACUCUUCUUCAACUGCUUCUUGUACUCGAACCAAUCGAUACCUGUUCAAAGCCCCCCAGUUAAUUAAUGACCAUUUGCAACAGAGAUUUGCAAAAAAUGAAAUGUGCCUUUACUUACCAUCUUUAGCAGCAAGUGAGACCAUGAUCUCAUCGAUGCCCUUCUCCAUACCCUUGAGACCACACAUGUAAACAAAGGUGUUGUCUUUCUUCAGCAACUCCCACAGCUCUUCUGCAUACUCAGCCAUUCUUGUCUGUAUGUACAUUUUCUCUCCCUUGUCGUUAGUCUGCUCCCUGCUCACCGCAAAGUCCAGCCUGAAGUUUUCAGGGUUCUUCUCCUUCAUCUUCUCAAACUCCUGUCAAUUAUUUAUCCACACAAAGUCAAACCAGCUCUUCCUACAAGACAAGGUUAAGUUUACUGAGACUAGGAUUUACCUCCUUGUAGAGCAGUGAGCUGCUUGUGGGUACACCCAAGAAGAGCCAUGCCAAACCGUUGAACUACAUAUAUAGAGCCAGACAAUGUCAAAUGGUGAGUGAGUUAGACUAUAAUUAGUGUGUCAAGAGAGAGUUUGAUGUUGGUUUUCACCUUGUAGUCCUCAUGCUCCUCAAAGAACAUUUUCCACAAAAAUGAUCUGAAUGGAGCUAUUCCAGUUCCUGUUCCAAGCUAAGCAAACCGAAAACAAACAAAUAAGUGUUGAUUAUAUUUACUUGAGGCCAUUUAUAUUAGUAUGACAUACCAUGAUGAUGGUGGCAUUAGGAUCUUUAGGCAUAAGCAUUUCUUUUCCAACUGGUCCAGUGAUCUUUGCCUCAUCACCAGGCUUCAAGUCACCUGUAAUAAUAAACACCACAAACAAACAGUAAGAAGAGUUUGAAACCGUAAUAAAAUUAAACCCAUUAAUUGUAAUUCUUGGUCUUACACAAGAAGUUGGAGCAGACUCCCUUAACAACCUCUCCGCUUUCGUUAGUGUAAACUAAUCUCUUGACACAGAGAGAAACCUGCAUAAGAAAGACCAUUGCAGAUCAUAAGAGAGAGAAGAUCAAGUCUUCAUUGUUUACUAGUCAGAGGAGGGGAAAGCUCUCACGGUUUUGGAGUCUCCAAAGUCACCAAUGGCACUGCUGGCGAUAGAGUAUAACCUCAGCUUGUGAGGCUUCCCGUUCUUGUCAAUUCCUUCUGGAAUUAUUCCUAUCGACUGCCCUUCUCUGUACGGAACCUCACCUAUUCCAUUCAUAUAUUUAAUCCAAUAUCCUUACGUUAACCUCGUAACAUGCCAUGCAAUGCACUUGAGAAAAAUAAAAUAAAAACUUCCCCACAAACAAUCAAUAAUUUGGAUUUUGUGGUGGUGGUACCUUCGGUGGUGAAGACGAUGUGCCAGGUCUCACCGGGAGCGUCAUCGCCGGUGAUCCUGGUGUUCAAGAGGCAUCGACCAGUGUAAGGUUCCUUUGGUUUGAAUUUGUUGACAACUAUUCCUUCUUCUUGUUUCUUUG